GAACUGUGACCUUCAAUUACUUCACUUCCGUGCCAGUUUUUGGCUGUAGUUCGAGACCCAGUCGCGAUGAAUGGGUGUGUAUUGGCUGAAUUGGAUUGGACGACUACAACACCCACAAUGCACCUCGCAAGGUUACGUAACGUCCCAGCGUCCGUCGGGGAAGCAGUUGACAGCAGUGAAGAGCAGGCCGAAGUGGGUAAACAAAACAAACAUAUGAAGAAAAGACUGAGAACUACCCCAAAGUUUGGUCUUAUUUUAUAUUUAUAUGAUGUUUGACGUCGUUCUAAAGCGACUUGAAGCCCGCUGAAGUAGAAAGUCGGUAGCUAAGAGAGGGCGUGCACCUGUCAAAGCUAAAUAGGUUAACGCGGCUAACGUGUGCUCGCUCAGGUUAGCUCGGCCAUGUCGUCCCCCUCCUCCUCCAGGCGCCAGUGGUGCUACCUGUGCGACCUGCCAAAGAUGCCGUGGACCGUGGUGUGGGACUUCAGCGAGGUGGUCUGUCGCGGCUGUGUGAACUACGAGGGCGCCAAUCAGAUUGAAUUCCUCAUUGCGAGUGCCAGACAGCUGAAACGGACUCAUGGGAUGCAGGACGGUAACGUUCGGUCACCCGGUCCGUCGCCCAAUAAACACGGCACGACUGGCAGAGGAGAGGCGGUGGCAGACGGGGGCAGACCGCACACCGACCGCUUUGAGAGGGGAGGGAGAGGAGAAAGUGCCGGGUCUGCUAUCCGUGUGCCGCCAAACGGGCUGCACCGUGAUGGGCAGCCGCCACCGGAGGUGAACCGGCAGAGCCCUAGCGGGAGCAGGAGACCCAUGCUAGGCGCUGCCAUCCCUCCCAGUCUAGUAACUCAAAGUAUUGCAGGGAUCCCUCAUGGGCUGCUUGCAGGCAUGCCGGCGGGUCUGACCGCCAGGACCGCCCCUAUGAGCAGCCCCAUGAUCUUCCCUGCUCCGGUGUUGGCCGAGAUGAGCCGCAGACAGCUGGGAAUAGGAAUGGGGAUAGGCCCUUACAUCUCAGCUCCGGAGCUUGAGCGGGAGCUGAGUGCAUCCCAGAACCAGUCCAAGAUACAGACGCAGGUCCACACGUCUGUGGCUAGCAGUAGCACCGGCAAAAACACAGGCCUCCCUUCCUCGUCCUCCUCCAUGGCUGGAGGUGUGAGCCAGACAAGCCCAAAGCCUGCCUCAUCCCCAGCCAGGCAACCACGACCCUUGGCCGCGAGGUCAGGAGGAGAGCCCCUGGGAUCCAGCUCCUCUGCAGAAGCAGCCACCACAGCUGCAGCUUUACCCCACAGUGGUGCCUCCGAGCUGGGAUCAGCGUCAGCAAACAACACCCACUCAACCGGAAACACUCUGUCCUGCACCUUGUGUCACGAGAGGCUGGAAGACACACACUUUGUCCAGUGUCCAUCAGUGCCAGGGCACAGGUUCUGCUUCCCCUGCACCAGAGUGUACAUCCAGAGCCGACGGGGUGAUGGGGAGGUGUACUGCCCCAGCGGAGAGCGCUGUCCGUUGGAUAACUCUCCCAACAGUCCUCCUUGGGCCUUCAUGCAGGGAGAGGUCUCCACUAUACUGGGCACCGGUGCAGCAGGAGCAGGAGCUGCAUCGGCCGCUGCAUCUGGAGCGGGGACCGGGCCUGGGCCUGGGCCAGGAGCUGCAUCCGGGGCCGGAGCCGGAGCUGCAAGUGGAGACGUCACCGUCAAGAAAGAGAGAGAGACGUGAUGAUAAUUUCCACUGAAACCAGGACCCAACACAGCCACAGGCAGGUCCACAGAUGUCAGAGUCCUGUUUUUAGUAGAAAGCAGCAUGCACGUUGUAUCACACACCAGAGGGAGACGUCUGCACUGGACCACUCACAGAUCCAGAGGAGAAGCCACACGCAGUGACCCAAAGUUCAGAAAAAACUCAUUUACACAGGUUUUAACUUCAUCUACUCACACCGCCCACUUUAAUCAACAUUAUCAGACCUCGCCAGAUAUCUGAUGAAAGUUGCAAAGUGUGCCUUCACAAAUUGUCAUUAUUUGAUUUUUCUUUUCUUUUCUAAGCAAAGUUUGACUUUGCCAACAUUAUUUGGCAACACCUAAAUCUUAUAGUUCUGAUGAGGACAUAAAUAUUGAAUUUUAUGAAUCACAUUUAGUUUUCAAUUCACCAGUUCUGGAAAACAAUUGUCAAAUACUCAAUCUAGCAAAUAAUAACGCCACAACUUUCCCCAAGUCUGUGGCUAAUUUAAGCAGGAAGAUUAAAAAGGAUUUUAUGAUGCUGUUGGAAUCAGAUAUUCAGGACCAAUCAGCUGAAGGCAGGCUACUUUUUGUAAAGUAAGACCUGACUGCAGUUGAAACCAUGAUAAUGUCCACAUCAACACUUCAAACCACUAUUAGCAAGCAGAAAUGACACAUUGACUACACCAGUUGUCCACAACAUUGUCUCAUUUUUCUACAAACUUACGUCAUCUGGAAAUUUUGAAAAAGAUUCUUUGAUCACAUUAAAAAAAAUCUUUGCACUGCAACUUUAAGAUGCACCUAUAGAACCAACCAAUGCAAAUGUUUCUAUCUCUAUAAAGCCAGCAGAAUAUAUAAUUGGCAUUGGAUGCAGUUGCUAAUAGUAGCCUGUUAGCA
Scomber japonicus (chub mackerel) is the source of this 2606-nucleotide RNA transcript. It is a transcript of the gene named interferon regulatory factor 2 binding protein 1, with no coding region annotated. Lineage: Eukaryota; Metazoa; Chordata; Actinopteri; Scombriformes; Scombridae. The transcript has 3 exons. The record is from RefSeq and is a predicted model, not a curated record.